This is a non-coding RNA of Chiloscyllium plagiosum (whitespotted bambooshark), 1471 nucleotides long. NCBI's taxonomy places the organism in Eukaryota, Metazoa, Chordata, Chondrichthyes, Orectolobiformes, Hemiscylliidae. The record is from RefSeq and is a predicted model, not a curated record.
AAGCGCAUCUGAAAAAUAUUUACAUGAAGAUAAAAAUGAUGAAUCAUAAAAUUCUUCAAUAAACUAUACAGUACACAUCAUCUCUAAGAAGUAUGCAGUCAGACCUUCAAACUUAGAGAUGCAUUUUUCUUGACAGUAUAGUGAUGGACUUGGGUCCCAGAUGUGACUGCAGCUGUCACAUCCUGCAACAUGCUGACUGGUAACUGACAGUAGUGAAGACAAAAGCUAAAUCUGUGACAGCAGAUGUGUUGAAAUGAAUAAUUUUCACAUAGAAUGGAAUCUGAUCAUAAAGGAAAACCGAAGCAGCUUCCCUCAUCCACAGAGAAAGAGAAAUGCCGAAAUGCAUUCAAUCAUUUUCAGCAGGACUUGAAAAGACUCAGAAGCAGAAGGAGAAUGCAGUGAACCAUCCGCCACAAUAUUAUCACCACAAUUCAGCAUUAUCAUUCAGAGCACAUUGAGGCUAGGAUGUACUUAUCAUUCAGCAUUUGAUGUUUCCAUGAUCACCCCCCGCCCCGCCCGCCACAGCUGACUGCAGAAUCUUCUGAAAUGACCUAUGCCUUGCCAUUUUGGUUCAAAAUGUAUAUAUUAUAUGGUGCAGAUUUCCAUAAAAGCACAAUAACGUUAAUUCUAAGUGAAAGCUUGUUUCCCUUGCUGGUUUCAUGAGUUUUUUUUUACUUUUAAUAAAAUAUUUACACAUUCUCAUUGCUCGAUUGGGGAAACUACCCAAAAAUAGACCUCCAGAAUGAUCACCACUAAAUAAACAGAGCACAGCUCAAAUUCUAAGACUUGAAGUAACUAGUUUUUCACAAAGCCACUAAUAUUCAAACCUACAAUGGAGACAAUCCACGCUGAAUACUAUGGAUAUAAAUAGCUCCAUUCUCCAAAGUUAAGCUAAUCACAUUACCUAUAUUAAAGGCAUAUUAAUUUAGUUUGAAAAUUCCACCCAGUCUUCAGCUGAGACAAGAAGAAAUCAUAACCAGUUGUAACCAAAAUGAAUACUUAAGAAGGCUAAUUUUUAAAAAAAGGUCUUUCCAACUGCCAUGUUUGUUACUGCGACUAAUAAAGACAAUUUCAGUUUUGAAAAUGAGGUGUACAGAAUUCGAAAUGCUAACUCAGUUUGUCUCUCCAAAAGUGUGGCUUGACCUGCUGAGUUUCUCCAGCACUUUUGUAAGCCAUUGUUCUGAUGGCAGCAAUGAGAUCAUUGUUGCUCUCAGGUGGUGCUCUAUACUUAGUCUACCAGAUUAAACAGCUAAGAACUCCCUAGAAAGCUGAUAGACAUAUACUGUCAAGACAUGUAUACAAAUAGUUUUUCCAAAUGUCAAGUGAGCAGAAACAGUGCCUUUGUCUGCUAGUUUAGGAUUUUGGGCCAGUCAAAAUAGCAAUUUUCUCCAGCACAGUCACAUUUGAGUUCUUUCCCUUAUCCUCCAUGUUCCUACAAAUGGUUAUAGUUUAGAAUAAGAGGGAAGGUGAA